This 510-nucleotide ribosomal RNA is filed under the name uncultured bacterium. Its description in RNAcentral is "partial 16S ribosomal RNA". It matches the Rfam family "Bacterial small subunit ribosomal RNA", at positions 28 to 507 of the family's 1533-position model. The record is from RNAcentral.
GACGAACGCUGGCGGCGUGCUUAACACAUGCAAGUCGAACGAAGAGCGAUGGAAGCUUGCUUCUAUCAAUCUUAGUGGCGAACGGGUGAGUAACGCGUAAUCAACCUGCCCUUCAGAGGGGGACAACAGUUGGAAACGACUGCUAAUACCGCAUACGAUCUAACCUCGGCAUCGAGGAUAGAUGAAAGGUGGCCUCUACAUGUAAGCUAUCACUGAAGGAGGGGAUUGCGUCUGAUUAGCUAGUUGGAGGGGUAACGGCCCACCAAGGCGAUGAUCAGUAGCCGGUCUGAGAGGAUGAACGGCCACAUUGGGACUGAGACACGGCCCAGACUCCUACGGGAGGCAGCAGUGGGGAAUCUUCCGCAAUGGACGAAAGUCUGACGGAGCAACGCCGCGUGAGUGAUGACGGCCUUUGGGUUGUAAAGCUCUGUUAAUCGGGACGAAAGGCCUUCUUGCGAAUAGUGAGAAGGAUUGACGGUACCGGAAUAGAAAGCCACGGCUAACUACGUG